Molecule: long non-coding RNA, 208 nt
Filed under: Musa acuminata (dwarf banana)
Lineage: Eukaryota; Viridiplantae; Streptophyta; Magnoliopsida; Zingiberales; Musaceae
Description: long non-coding RNA (MACU_LNC011352)
Source: RNAcentral
UCCAGUUUCCUUCUCUCUCCCAUUUUGAAUGCUAUCAUCAAGAUUAUUCCCCUUCCUAAUACACCUUGUUGAUGACUUAAAUAGUUGCCUUUCCAGUAUCCUGAUCCAAUAAAUCUAUAGUCUCUUCAAGCUCUUCUUCCUCGCAUCCAUCAUCUUCUUAUCCACCUGAGCUUUCACAGCAAGUCCGUCCUUCCUGUGAGCUGCUGAU